GGGGUUUUCGCUCAGCUGGUUAGAGCGAACGACUUAUAAUCGUUAGGUCCCCGGUUCAAGUCCGGGCAUCGCCACCA
Molecule: transfer RNA, 77 nt
Filed under: Deinococcus phoenicis
Lineage: Bacteria; Thermotogati; Deinococcota; Deinococci; Deinococcales; Deinococcaceae
Description: tRNA-Ile
Rfam family: tRNA
About the family: Transfer RNA (tRNA) molecules are approximately 80 nucleotides in length. Their secondary structure includes four short double-helical elements and three loops (D, anti-codon, and T loops).
Source: RNAcentral